AUUGAACGCUGGCGGCAUGCCUUACACAUGCAAGUCGAACGCGAAAGGGGGGCAACUCCUGAGUAGAGUGGCGCACGGGUGAGUAAUGCAUCGGAACGUGUCCUGUAGCGGGGGAUAACCUAGCGAAAGCUAGGCUAAUACCGCAUACGCCCUGAGGGGGAAAGUGGGGGAUCGUAAGACCUCACACUAUAGGAGCGGCCGAUGCCGGAUUAGCUAGUUGGUGGGGUAAAAGCCCACCAAGGCGACGAUC
This 250-nucleotide ribosomal RNA is filed under the name uncultured bacterium. Its description in RNAcentral is "partial 16S ribosomal RNA". It matches the Rfam family "Bacterial small subunit ribosomal RNA", at positions 30 to 281 of the family's 1533-position model. The record is from RNAcentral.